GCACUUAAUGGAUCAAUGGGGUAUUGCUGGGCCUCCGAAGCCCGAAGCACGCAAGGCAAUGGGAGGAGAUCCUGAUCCGGGCUGGGUGGAUGCU
Molecule: transfer RNA, 94 nt
Filed under: Peribacillus sp. Bi96
Lineage: Bacteria; Bacillati; Bacillota; Bacilli; Caryophanales; Bacillaceae
Description: tRNA-Arg
Source: RNAcentral